CUGCAAUGAUGAAAAUGUAGCUACUGAGC
Molecule: non-coding RNA, 29 nt
Filed under: Homo sapiens (human)
Lineage: Eukaryota; Metazoa; Chordata; Mammalia; Primates; Hominidae
Source: RNAcentral